AGUGAACGCUGGCGGUAGGCCUAUCACAUGCAAGUCGAACGGCAGCACAGUAAGAGCUUGCUCUUACGGGUGGCGAGUGGCGGACGGGUGAGGAAUACAUCGGAAUCUACUUUUUCGUGGGGGAUAACGUAGGGAAACUUACGCUAAUACCGCAUACGACCUACGGGUGAAAGCAGGGGAUCUUCGGACCUUGCGCGAUUGAAUGAGCCGAUGUCGGAUUAGCUAGUUGGCGGGGUAAAGGCCCACCAAGGCGACGAUCCGUAGCUGGUCUGAGAGGAUGAUCAGCCACACUGGAACUGAGACACUGUCCAGACUCCUACGGGAGGCAGCAGUGGGGAAUAUUGGACAAUGGGCGCAAGCCUGAUCCAGCCAUACCGCGUGGGUGAAGAAGGCCUUCGGGUUGUAAAGCCCUUUUGUUGGGAAAGAAAAGCAGCAGGUUAAUACCCCGCUGUUCUGACGGUACCCAAAGAAUAAGCACCGGCUAACUUCGUG
This 492-nucleotide ribosomal RNA is filed under the name uncultured bacterium. RNAcentral's name for it is "partial 16S ribosomal RNA". It matches the Rfam family "Bacterial small subunit ribosomal RNA", at positions 29 to 507 of the family's 1533-position model. The record is from RNAcentral.